UACGUAGGGUGCGAGCGUUAAUCGGAAUUACUGGGCGUAAAGCGUGCGCAGGCGGUUUUGUAAGUCAGAUGUGAAAUCCCCGGGCUUAACCUGGGAAUGGCAUUUGGGACUGCAAGGCUUGAGUGCGGCAGAGGGGACUGGAAUUCCUGGUGUAGCAGUGAAAUGCGUAGAGAUCGGGAGGAACACCAGUGGCGAAGGCGGCUACCUGGACCAGCACUGACACUGAAGCACGAAAGCGUGGGGAGCAAACAGG
Molecule: ribosomal RNA, 253 nt
Filed under: uncultured bacterium
Lineage: Bacteria
Description: partial 16S ribosomal RNA
Rfam family: Bacterial small subunit ribosomal RNA
Source: RNAcentral